AAAUUGAAGAGUUUGAUCAUGGCUCAGAUUGAACGCUGGCGGCAGGCCUAACACAUGCAAGUCGAACGGUAACAGAAAGCAGCUUGCUGCUUUGCUGACGAGUGGCGGACGGGUGAGUAAUGUCUGGGAAACUGCCUGAUGGAGGGGGAUAACUACUGGAAACGGUAGCUAAUACCGCAUAACGUCGCAAGACCAAAGAGGGGGACCUUCGGGCCUCUUGCCAUCGGAUGUGCCCAGAUGGGAUUAGCUAGUAGGUGGGGUAACGGCUCACCUAGGCGACGAUCCCUAGCUGGUCUGAGAGGAUGACCAGCCACACUGGAACUGAGACACGGUCCAGACUCCUACGGGAGGCAGCAGUGGGGAAUAUUGCACAAUGGGCGCAAGCCUGAUGCAGCCAUGCCGCGUGUAUGAAGAAGGCCUUCGGGUUGUAAAGUACUUUCAGCGGGGAGGAAGGGAGUAAAGUUAAUACCUUU
This 473-nucleotide ribosomal RNA is filed under the name Escherichia coli. RNAcentral describes it as "bacterial SSU rRNA". It matches the Rfam family "Bacterial small subunit ribosomal RNA", at positions 1 to 470 of the family's 1533-position model. Lineage: Bacteria; Pseudomonadati; Pseudomonadota; Gammaproteobacteria; Enterobacterales; Enterobacteriaceae. The record is from RNAcentral.